Lathyrus oleraceus (garden pea) is the source of this 2177-nucleotide long non-coding RNA. RefSeq lists it as uncharacterized. The record is from RefSeq and is a predicted model, not a curated record. The transcript is spliced from 5 exons. NCBI's taxonomy places the organism in Eukaryota, Viridiplantae, Streptophyta, Magnoliopsida, Fabales, Fabaceae.
AGCUAGUUCUGCUUGCACAGAACCGGACCUAGAAAGAUAACCCUCCAUAUUCCAAAUGGGAAAAUUUUAUCAUAUACCCCAAUACUUAUCCCACACCCCUACAAUUUACACAUUUCACCAAAAUAUCUUUAUAUAAAUACUUCAAAUUUAAUUGGAUUCAACACAAAUUAAAUGGAUUUAAACGAGAAAGUGAUGAGAUAUGCAAGCCAGAGUGUCAUUGCAGUUUAUGCACCAUUUUAUCUGAGUUCAAACUUCAAACAAUAACCAUUUUGAAAAAACCUAAAACCCUACUUUGUGACCGAAAACCCUAGAUCUCUUUACUGGUCGAUCUCAUUUGUUAGUGGUUACUACAUGCUCUUACAAUUUAAUGAUUCUAUUGUACUUUUGCAGCCAAUUUUGUGCAAAGUCAUUGACAUUGACGACGAUGAUCACUCUCAUGAUUCAGUCAUAAUUGCUGAAAAAGUUUCUACUCAAACUAACAAGGGAAUAAAAAUUGAAGCUACUAAUCAAAUUGUGGAUGUGUCUGGCAUUGAUGAUGAUAAUUGGUGAAAAUGUCUGCAAAAGUAACAAGGGGAAGACAAUUGAAGCCAUUAAUCAAGUUGUGGUUUGUAUGAAAUUAAGAUGUUAUUUGUCACUUCUCGCAGUAGAUUGAUGUUAUCUUUUCUAACUAGUGAAUAUCUCUUAAGUUUCGCUCUGUAUCCGUCUCAGGGUGUGUUUGGCAACGAUGAUGAUUUAGUGAUAAUUGGUGAAAAUGUCCGUAAAAGUAGCAAUGGGAAGACAAUUGAAGCCAUUAAUCAAGUUGUAGUUCGUGUAAGAUUAAGAUGAUAUUUGUCGAAUCUCGCUGUAGAUUGAUGUUAUCUUUUCUAACUUGUGAAUAUCUCUAACAUUUCGCUCUAAAUCCUUUUCAUCCUGAUGUUGAUUAUGGCCUGGGUUUUAAAAUGAUUAUGUAGCUGAUUCCUUUCAGCCUUCCCUGCCAUUAGAGCCCUAUAACUCUAAAAUCUAAGGAGCUACACAGUUUAACAGUUUUAGUUUACAAAUCAAAUUGGAUAGUGUUAACCACUCUUCUGGAAUGGAGUCUUUUGAAUUAUCUUCUCAAGAUGCUCAUAGUAAGAAGAAAUCAGUUGCAUCACUGCAUAAUGGGCGUCCUCGUUUGAAUAUUUCAUUAGGCGCAGAAUCGUCUAAUUUUGAGAGGUUGUCGAAACAUUUUAGCAAUAAAAUGGAGUCUGCUGAUUUGCAAAGCAAUCCAAAGACUAGGAAGGUAGUAGCAAUUCAGACCAUGCAAAUAUCAAAGAUGAAAGUAUGAGGAAAUUCAAAUGUUUAAAGAAAAUUCAAUGCCAGAGACUCUCCUUUCUGUAGAAAGAAGCCAAAUUACGAAUAUUUACAGAAUUGGGUCAAAAGAAUCUUGAGAGAGUGGGAAAUUUUGGAGAAGAAUCUGCCAGCAUGUCAGGUUCCACAAUCAAAUUGGUUCUUCUAAGUUGAAUCCAAAUUUGAAUGAGCAUGGCACUGUAUGUCUUAGUCUACUUAACACUUGGAUUGGUCAUUGGUGACAAGAAUGAGCGUUGGCUUCCAGACUCUUCAACAAUUCUACAGGUUCUAGUUUCCUUACAAGGUCUAGUCCUGACUGCAAUCCCUUUGUUGAAUGGUCCUCAGACCGCUUUCGGGAAUCAUCCAAAUAAACAAAAUAUAUCCGAGUGUCGUAGAUAUAAUGAGCAAGUGUUCAUUGAUUCACUAUGGCUAAUGAUACAUAUAAGAAGAAGACCUCCAAAGGGUUUUAAGGACUUUGUAGUGGAACAUUUCCGCAACCGAGCUCAUAAUAUUAUGGGAGCAUGCAAAGCAUACAGGGAAGGUGCUCAAGCUGAUUCUUUGGUCAAAAGUGGUUUUCAUGAUGUUGAUGAGGGUAACAAAAGUGGUUUUCUAUAUGUGAACCAAUGGAAGAGCUUGUCAAAGAGUUUGAGUGAAUUGGUGCUAAGUACUGAAAAAUUCCAUUGCUGCAAAACAACAUUCUCUAUGAAUUCCCAAAUUUGAGACUUUACUCAAAAGUCUAUUACAUCUUACUAUAUGCAGUUUUUUAUUUAAACAUUUCAAAGACAGGUAUUGAGUAAUUGAACUAACUAUUGUCACAAUGGCUUGUGGGGAGCCUACACUUUCUUGCAAAUUAUUUGAAUUUCCCUUUCACA